RNAcentral lists this ribosomal RNA (1000 nucleotides) under Lactiplantibacillus plantarum. Its description in RNAcentral is "bacterial SSU rRNA". It matches the Rfam family "Bacterial small subunit ribosomal RNA", at positions 62 to 1039 of the family's 1533-position model. The record is from RNAcentral. Lineage: Bacteria; Bacillati; Bacillota; Bacilli; Lactobacillales; Lactobacillaceae.
UGGUGCUUGCAUCAUGAUUUACAUUUGAGUGAGUGGCGAACUGGUGAGUAACACGUGGGAAACCUGCCCAGAAGCGGGGGAUAACACCUGGAAACAGAUGCUAAUACCGCAUAACAACUUGGACCGCAUGGUCCGAGUUUGAAAGAUGGCUUCGGCUAUCACUUUUGGAUGGUCCCGCGGCGUAUUAGCUAGAUGGUGAGGUAACGGCUCACCAUGGCAAUGAUACGUAGCCGACCUGAGAGGGUAAUCGGCCACAUUGGGACUGAGACACGGCCCAAACUCCUACGGGAGGCAGCAGUAGGGAAUCUUCCACAAUGGACGAAAGUCUGAUGGAGCAACGCCGCGUGAGUGAAGAAGGGUUUCGGCUCGUAAAACUCUGUUGUUGAAGAAGAACAUAUCUGAGAGUAACUGUUCAGGUAUUGACGGUAUUUAACCAGAAAGCCACGGCUAACUACGUGCCAGCAGCCGCGGUAAUACGUAGGUGGCAAGCGUUGUCCGGAUUUAUUGGGCGUAAAGCGAGCGCAGGCGGUUUUUUAAGUCUGAUGUGAAAGCCUUCGGCUCAACCGAAGAAGUGCAUCGGAAACUGGGAAACUUGAGUGCAGAAGAGGACAGUGGAACUCCAUGUGUAGCGGUGAAAUGCGUAGAUAUAUGGAAGAACACCAGUGGCGAAGGCGGCUGUCUGGUCUGUAACUGACGCUGAGGCUCGAAAGUAUGGGUAGCAAACAGGAUUAGAUACCCUGGUAGUCCAUACCGUAAACGAUGAAUGCUAAGUGUUUGGAGGGUUUCCGCCCUUCAGUGCUGCAGCUAACGCAUUAAGCAUUCCGCCUGGGGAGUACGGCCGCAAGGGCUGAAACUCCAAGGGAAUUGACGGGGGGCCCGCCCAAACCGGUGGAGCAUGGGGGUUUAAUUCCAAACUUCCCCGAAGAACCUUACCAGGUCUUGGCCUACUUUGCUAAUUUUAAAAAAUUAAACAUUCCCUUCCGGGACCUGGAAAAAAGGU